UAAGUAGGGUGCGAGCGUUAAUCGGAAUUACUGGGCGUAAAGCGUGCGCAGGCGGUUAUGUAAGACAGAUGUGAAAUCCCCGGGCUCAACCUGGGAACUGCAUUAGUGACUGCAUAGCUGGAGUACGGCAGAGGGGGAUGGAAUUCCGCGUGUAGCAGUGAAAUGCGUAGAUAUGCGGAGGAACACCGAUGGCGAAGGCAAUCCCCUGGGCCUGUACUGACGCUCAUGCACGAAAGCGUGGGGAGCAAACAGG
This 253-nucleotide ribosomal RNA is filed under the name uncultured bacterium. Its description in RNAcentral is "partial 16S ribosomal RNA". It matches the Rfam family "Bacterial small subunit ribosomal RNA", at positions 524 to 776 of the family's 1533-position model. The record is from RNAcentral.